This 482-nucleotide ribosomal RNA is filed under the name uncultured bacterium. RNAcentral describes it as "partial 16S ribosomal RNA". It matches the Rfam family "Bacterial small subunit ribosomal RNA", at positions 30 to 507 of the family's 1533-position model. The record is from RNAcentral.
AUUGAACGCUGGCGGCAUGCCUUACACAUGCAAGUCGAACGGUAACAGGUCUUCGGAUGCUGACGAGUGGCGAACGGGUGAGUAAUACAUCGGAACGUGCCCGAUCGUGGGGGAUAACGAAGCGAAAGCUUUGCUAAUACCGCAUACGAUCUACGGAUGAAAGCGGGGGAUCUUCGGACCUCGCGCGGCCGGAGCGGCCGAUGGCAGAUUAGGUAGUUGGUGGGAUAAAAGCUUACCAAGCCGACGAUCUGUAGCUGGUCUGAGAGGAUGAUCAGCCACACUGGGACUGAGACACGGCCCAGACUCCUACGGGAGGCAGCAGUGGGGAAUUUUGGACAAUGGGCGCAAGCCUGAUCCAGCCAUGCCACGUGCAGGAUGAAGGCCUUCGGGUUGUAAACUGCUUUUGUACGGAACGAAAAGGUGCCUUCUAAUAAAGGGCGCUCAUGACGGUACCGUAAGAAUAAGCACCGGCUAACUACGUG